Thamnophis elegans (Western terrestrial garter snake) is the source of this 1008-nucleotide long non-coding RNA. RefSeq lists it as uncharacterized. The record is from RefSeq and is a predicted model, not a curated record. NCBI's taxonomy places the organism in Eukaryota, Metazoa, Chordata, Lepidosauria, Squamata, Natricidae. The transcript has 3 exons.
CAGCCAAGACGGACUAUGUCAAUUUCAGGGGGCCGGGUUUCCAUUUAAAGGGAAACCAAAAGAAGAACCGAGCAGGGAUGUUGUGGAGGAGACCUAUUUCACAGGGAUGUUGUGAAGAGCAAUGAAGAGCACAAGAACUAUAUGCACCACCUUGAACAAAAGAAAUGGAGAAGAAGGGAGAAGAUGGAGAAGGAGCAUCUCAUUCCAGCUGUAAUUCUCUGACUUGCAUAUCUGGAGAAAACAAGCUUGCUUUUUUGGCAAUAACAGAGAGCAUACAUCCUCUCUGCCAUCUGGAAGAUGAGAUUUUAUUUCUCUACUCUUGUCAUUGCCAGCACCAUCAUUAGAUCUUUACAGGAAGAGAGACAGAUGGAAAAUGAAGAGAUGGGGCUUAAGUACACAGCAUUGCCAGAUAGAUCUCUUCAAUUCUAUUCCGAGAACUCUGUGUCAAAUAGUUCACAUGCAGCCUGAUCCUUGACAGAUUACUCAGUGCUGCCUUCUUCCUCCCUGCCCUUUUGUUGCUCUAGCUAGCUAGCAUUCAGAGAUGGGGGUGAGAUCAGUUAUCCUGACAAGAAGAACAGAGUUGCUUUGAACUUCCUGAGUAUUUGUUGCAUUCCCCUUAUUGCUGCAUGUGAUAUAAUCAUAAAAAACACUCUGUGAAUGAGUUUUCCUUUUCCUUUCCUGUCCCCUUUCCUUCUGCGUCAAGACUUUUUGAAUUGUAAGCCUGAAGUAGGAGUGGUAAGAGCUUUCAGACUGGAGGGAUUUAAAUGCUUUAUACAUAAAUCACCAAGUAAACAGGCAAGAAGCAGGAGCCAUUGAUUUCUAUAUUGUUUACAAUAUAGUGCAGCAUUCAAAUGUUUUAUAAGACAGAUAACUGCUUAUUAUAACUCACAGAUAAUUCCAAUUUUUUUUUAAUAUCCUGCUAAAUCACACUAUUUGUGCUUUUCUUAAUCUAUUCAUUUAUUGGAUUUUUGCCACUUUAAACUAUUAAGACUCUUCGGUGGGUCAGAA